RNAcentral lists this long non-coding RNA (966 nucleotides) under Pan troglodytes (chimpanzee). RNAcentral's name for it is "long non-coding RNA NONPTRT005628". The record is from RNAcentral. Lineage: Eukaryota; Metazoa; Chordata; Mammalia; Primates; Hominidae.
CCUAUCCACUUGUCAUUACACCUCUGUAAUUCUUAGUGAUGUUCCACGUUGCCUCCCACACUGACCCUGUACAAACCAGUGCAAGAGUUUCGGGGGUGGGGGACUGUUACUUGAGCCAACUUCUUCCAUCCUGCAAAGGCAGGGAUGGAGCUCAGGAGAUGGUGUUUUGCAUCACUACAACUGGAACAAGAUGAAAGGUCUCUGAAGCAAUAAUGAGAUCCAGGCUUGAUUCAGGACAAGAGGCCAGAUGGGAACAGUAGAGCAUUAGGAUGUUGUGACGCUGGGGUAACCUUUCCAUAAUGAUGUUGUGUGGCCUGAAGUUUGAUGCUGAGAAUCUACAGUGAUUUCUGGCUUAGAAAUAAGAAAUUGAUCAGUAAAUGAAAAAAAAAAAAAGUCUACCUGUAUCCAAUCUCUCCCCACAAGCCCCCCUCCCAGCAUUGUUAUCUAUUUGUAUACGCAACAGUAUUUUAGCAAAUGAAAAUUCUCAGAAUUCUAAUCACAUCCUUAUCCCAAAGCCUGGAUUUCAUCAGAAAGCUUUAUGGUGCUUCUGACUCAGUAGAGUUAGUUAUCCUGUUUAAUUGGAUUGACAGUGACAAUUGUAAUUACCUUAGAUGAGAUUGCCUGUAAUGUAAUUAUACUUCCUUCAUCUGCAUGAGCUGGACUUGUGGAAUACAUACAGAAGAUGCCUCCAAUUACUGAGAGGUUAAGAAGAACAUUAUAUUGCCUCACAAAUCCUGUUUGUUACUGUAUAGAAUUGUAAGAAUUAUGGAAGAAACUGAAGGAAUUACUCCUCUAAAGCAGAUACUCCUGGAAAGUUAAACAACUUGGCUAAUACUCUCCUGCUGGAUUUGGACAGGAAGACCUCACCAAAGCUGAAAGAGUUCGUGGAAAACCAUGGAUGCCAGUAGAACCUGGAAACCCUACAUGGAGCAUAGUGUUAUGUGGAAAGGCUUUUGGAGCUCAUCC